CAUUACUGAGUUUACGCUCUAUAACCCUUUGUGAACAUACCUAUAACUGUUGCUUCGGCGGGUAGGGUCUCCGUGACCCUCCCGGCCUCCCGCCCCCGGGCGGGUCGGCGCCCGCCGGAGGAAAACCAAACUCUGAUUUAACGACGUUUCUUCUGAGUGGUACAAGCAAAUAAUCAAAACUUUUAACAACGGAUCUCUUGGUUCUGGCAUCGAUGAAGAACGCAGCGAAAUGCGAUAAGUAAUGUGAAUUGCAGAAUUCAGUGAAUCAUCGAAUCUUUGAACGCACAUUGCGCCCGCCAGCAUUCUGGCGGGCAUGCCUGUUCGAGCGUCAUUUCAACCCUCAAGCUCUGCUUGGUGUUGGGGCCCUACAGCUGAUGUAGGCCCUCAAAGGUAGUGGCGGACCCUCCCGGAGCCUCCUUUGCGUAGUAACUUUACGUCUCGCACUGGGAUCCGGAGGGACUCUUGCCGUAAAACCCCCAAUUUUCCAAAGGUUGACCUCGGAUCAGGUAGGAAUACCCGCUGAACUUAAGCAUAUCAAUAAG
RNAcentral lists this ribosomal RNA (542 nucleotides) under fungal endophyte. Its description in RNAcentral is "eukaryotic LSU rRNA". The stretch from base 178 to 331 matches the Rfam family "5.8S ribosomal RNA". Lineage: Eukaryota; Fungi. The record is from RNAcentral.